This 271-nucleotide ribosomal RNA is filed under the name uncultured bacterium. RNAcentral's name for it is "partial 16S ribosomal RNA". It matches the Rfam family "Bacterial small subunit ribosomal RNA", at positions 524 to 794 of the family's 1533-position model. The record is from RNAcentral.
UACGUAGGGUGCAAGCGUUAAUCGGAAUUACUGGGCGUAAAGGGUGCGUAGGUGGUUUAUUAAGUCAGAGGUGAAAGCCCAGGGCUCAACCUUGGAAUUGCCUUUGAUACUGGAUGUCUUGAGUUCGGGAGAGGUGAGUGGAAUGCCGAGUGUAGAGGUGAAAUUCGUAGAUAUUCGGCGGAACACCAGUGGCGAAGGCGACUCACUGGCCCGAUACUGACACUGAGGCGCGAAAGCGUGGGGAGCAAACAGGAUUAGAUACCCCUGUAGU